RNAcentral lists this ribosomal RNA (463 nucleotides) under uncultured Cortinarius. RNAcentral describes it as "eukaryotic LSU rRNA". The stretch from base 132 to 285 matches the Rfam family "5.8S ribosomal RNA". Lineage: Eukaryota; Fungi; Basidiomycota; Agaricomycetes; Agaricales; Cortinariaceae. The record is from RNAcentral.
AGGGAGCAUUGUGCACGCCUGUUCAUCUUUAUAUCUCCCCCUGUGCACCUUUUGUAGACCCUCCGGGGUCUAUGUCGCUUCAUCUUCCCCAAUGUAUGUUAAUAGAAUGUGUGUGCAUAUGAAAUCUAUACAACUUUCAGCAACGGAUCUCUUGGCUCUCGCAUCGAUGAAGAACGCAGCGAAAUGCGAUAAGUAAUGUGAAUUGCAGAAUUCAGUGAAUCAUCGAAUCUUUGAACGCACCUUGCGCUCCUUGGUAUUCCGAGGAGCAUGCCUGUUUGAGUGUCAUUAAUAUAUAAUCAACCCUCUUGUUUGAGUGGCUUGGAUGUGGGGGCUUGCUGGCCUCUUAAAAGGUUCAGCUCCCCUGAAAUGCAUUAGUGGAACGACCUGUUCAUUCAUUGGUGUGAUAACUAUCUACGCUAUUGAACGUGAGGCAGUUCAGCUUUCUAACUGUCCUUGGACAAUU